This 87-nucleotide transfer RNA is filed under the name Planctomycetota bacterium. RNAcentral's name for it is "tRNA-Leu". It matches the Rfam family "tRNA". Rfam says of the family: Transfer RNA (tRNA) molecules are approximately 80 nucleotides in length. Their secondary structure includes four short double-helical elements and three loops (D, anti-codon, and T loops). The record is from RNAcentral. Lineage: Bacteria; Pseudomonadati; Planctomycetota.
GGGCGAGUGGCGGAACGGCAUACGCUGGGGACUUAAAAUCCCCUGGGCCCUGUGCCCUUGAGGGUUCAAAUCCCUCCUCGCCCACCA